This 253-nucleotide ribosomal RNA is filed under the name uncultured bacterium. RNAcentral describes it as "partial 16S ribosomal RNA". It matches the Rfam family "Bacterial small subunit ribosomal RNA", at positions 524 to 776 of the family's 1533-position model. The record is from RNAcentral.
UACGGAGGUGGCAAGCGUUACUCGGAAUCAUUGGGCGUAAAGAGCGUGUAGGCGGUCCGGUAAGUCCGUUGUGAAAGUCAGGGGCUCAACCCUUGAAUGCCGGCGGAUACUGUCGGGCUAGAGUCCGGAAGAGGCAAGUGGAAUUCCCGGUGUAGCGGUGAAAUGCGCAGAUAUCGGGAGGAACACCUAUGGCGAAGGCAGCUUGCUGGGACGGUACUGACGCUGAGACGCGAAAGCGUGGGGAGCAAACAGG